AUACUUACUUGGUAGGGGAGAUACCAAGAUCACAAAGUUGGUUUCCCAGGGCGAGGCUUAUUCAAUACACUCCAGGUGUGCUGACCCCUGCGAUUUCCCCAAAUGUGGGAAGCUCGACUGCAUACUUUGUGGUAGAGAGAACUGUGUUCGUGCUCUCCCCUU
Small nuclear RNA from Gorilla gorilla gorilla (western lowland gorilla), 162 nucleotides. Its record names the gene U1. It matches the Rfam family "U1 spliceosomal RNA". From Rfam's summary of the family: U1 is a small nuclear RNA (snRNA) component of the spliceosome (involved in pre-mRNA splicing). Its 5' end forms complementary base pairs with the 5' splice junction, thus defining the 5' donor site of an intron. There are significant differences in sequence and secondary structure between metazoan and yeast U1 snRNAs, the latter being much longer (568 nucleotides as compared to 164 nucleotides in human). Lineage: Eukaryota; Metazoa; Chordata; Mammalia; Primates; Hominidae. The record is from Ensembl.